This 24-nucleotide non-coding RNA is filed under the name Arabidopsis thaliana (thale cress). The record is from RNAcentral. Lineage: Eukaryota; Viridiplantae; Streptophyta; Magnoliopsida; Brassicales; Brassicaceae.
UUAAAUUCGGUACUGUGCAUGUGC